This 2127-nucleotide long non-coding RNA is filed under the name Capsella grandiflora. RNAcentral describes it as "long non-coding RNA (CGRA_LNC001131)". The record is from RNAcentral. Lineage: Eukaryota; Viridiplantae; Streptophyta; Magnoliopsida; Brassicales; Brassicaceae.
AAGAGACAAGUCUAGUUUCAGAAAAAGACAAAGGUUGGUGUUGCUCCCAUUAAUUUUGUAAAACAAGAAAAAGAUAGAGAUAUAGUUAAUGGCUAAUAAUCUAAAUAUAUAACUCACUGCUUGAGAAAGUGGAUGAAGUAAGAUAACUUGGGUGGGCUAUUUGGUAUAUAACUUAAAAUUUAAUUAAUGGGCCUUUUGAUCCACCCAUUUUGUUUUUCUUUUGUAACUCCCACUUACACUGUUCAGUCAACAAAUAAAAACAAAUUUGUGGUAUCUUUCAAUCUUGUUGUGGGAUUUUCGCAUUUCGAUGUAUUCGAUGGUGGCCAAAACUAAGAUUAAAUGGUAAAAAGAUUUUUUCCUUAAUUUUUAAAAAGAUUUGAUUAUAUUUUCUGAUUUGAAAACUUUUACUAUAUCUAUAACUUCAAAAAACCGCAAAUUCUUACAAGCCUCAUAUAUCUUAUCCUAUUCCGACAAGUACCUAAACAACAUUACUACAAAUUAUACAUUUCACACUAUAGAGUUCAAAUAUGUGAACUUGGGCCAAGUCAUUUGAUUGAGGAAAUAUAUAAUAUGAUCCACAAGAUCCUUGAAUAUACUCUUGAGUAAAAAAACAAAAGAAUAUUCGAGACCUCUUAUCAAGAAUCCUAUCCUAAAGAAAGCACAUCCACUUAUGUUUCCAUCACUAGAUUUCAAGUGGGUCAUCAUCAUCUUUUACUUCAAGAUAUUGUUUAGUCUAAACCUCUCAAACCUCCUUAAUCGUGUGAUCUAAUCUAUCUUAUGUGUUUCUUCAACUUGUAAAUUUUCAUAUUUGUUGAGUCACAUUGUCCUAUUUUCUUUAAUGUUCAUAUGCAAUUCAAAUUUCAAGAGAUAUUAUAGAACAUUACAUAUUUAUUUCAUCAGAUAGUUGAGAAUCCGAUAGAAAAUGUCUCGCAAACCGGAAAACAAACGUUAAAUCCGGAAAUUAAAACUUUAGAUAAAAAUUAAAAAGAAAAAAGGAAAAAGCAGAAAUUGAUAUAAAAUCAAAGGUGGAGGAGGGGAUGAGAUAAAGUUUUUGAUAUGUUUUACAAGAAACAAAGCAAAGCAAAGAGAGAGAUUAAGCAUCGGUGAAGCGAGGGGGCUUGUAGGCAAUGAAACUGAUGCACUGCACUUGACGGGUGUUGUCGAAUCCGAUGAUCCUGAUGAAGGCUUCAGGGUACUCCUUCUUGCACUCGUUAACUUCCUUCAACACUUGUGCUGAGUCAGUGCAUCCGAACAAGGGUAGCUUCCACAUUGUCCAGUACCUUCCAUCGUAGUAUCCGGGGGUGUUACCGUGCUCACGGUGCACAAACCCGUUCUAUAAUAUAAAAAAAAACCAAACCACACAUGUUACGACCACAACAACAACAACAACAACAAAAGUCCAAGAUCUAAGCUAGUUUAUGUUUUUUUCUUACCUCCAACUCGAAUUCAACACAGGGAAUCCACUUGUUGCGGAGGAGGUAGUCAACUUCCUUUCCCAACUCGACCUCGGAAAGGUCAGGAAGGUAAGAGAGAGUCUCGAACUUCUUCUUUCCGAUCGGAGGCCACACCUUUGAGAUUCAGACAAAACAACAUAUGAGUUCAUGUAAUUCGAACGAAAAAAGAAGAAGAAGAAAAAAGAUGUAUGACCUUCAUGCAGCUAACUCUUCCGCCGUUGCUUGUGAUGGAAGUAAUGUCGUUGUUGGCCUUGCGGGUGGAAGGGAAAGCAGCGGAGGACUUAAGUCCGGUGAAAGGAGCGACCAUAGUGGCCUGAGCCGGGGAGGCAACCAUUGUAGCGGAAGAGAGCAUAGAGGAAGCCAUUGUGUUCUUUCUCUUUUACUCUUUUGUGUGACUGAGGUUCUGUCUAGUGCUUUGGUCAUCUAUAUAUAAUGAUAAUAACAAUGAUAACAAUCACUUGAGUGAUCGUAGGGUCGAGGAAUCAUGAGGCUUGAGUGGGAAAGGAUUUAGACCGUUGGAUGAUGAGUGUGUGGAUAUGUGUGUGUGUGUGAGGUUUUAAGUCACUUGGUAACGGCCACAGAAGCCUAAGGUAAGGUCCUGAGAGACCCUUAUCGGUUUGUAACGCUAGAACAGUGCCACGUGGAAGAUAAAUCUUAUCGUUAUCUAUGAGUG